AGGAGUUUGAUCCUGGCUCAGGAUGAACGCUAGCGGCAGGCUUAACACAUGCAAGUCGAGGGGUAUAGUAGCAAUACUAGAGACCGGCGCACGGGUGCGUAACGCGUAUGCAAUCUACCUUUUGCAGAGGGAUAGCCCAGAGAAAUUUGGAUUAAUACCUCAUAGUAUAAUGAGUUGGCAUCAACUUAUUAUUAAAGUCACAACGGCAAAAGAUGAGCAUGCGUCCCAUUAGCUAGUUGGUAAGGUAACGGCUUACCAAGGCGACGAUGGGUAGGGGUCCUGAGAGGGAGAUCCCCCACACUGGUACUGAGACACGGACCAGACUCCUACGGGAGGCAGCAGUGAGGAAUAUUGGACAAUGGGCGCAAGCCUGAUCCAGCCAUGCCGCGUGCAGGAUGACGGUCCUAUGGAUUGUAAACUGCUUUUGUACAGGAAGAAACAUCUCUACGUGUAGAGACUUGACGGUACUGUAAGAAUAAGGAUCGGCUAACUCCGUGCCAGCAGCCGCGGUAAUACGGAGGAUCCAAGCGUUAUCCGGAAUCAUUGGGUUUAAAGGGUCCGUAGGCGGUCUUAUAAGUCAGUGGUGAAAUCUCCCCGCUCAACGGGGAAACGGCCAUUGAUACUGUAGGACUUGAAUUAUUAGGAAGUAACUAGAAUAUGUAGUGUAGCGGUGAAAUGCUUAGAGAUUACAUGGAAUACCAAUUGCGAAGGCAGGUUACUACUAAUGGAUUGACGCUGAUGGACGAAAGCGUGGGUAGCGAACAGGAUUAGAUACCCUGGUAGUCCACGCCGUAAACGAUGGAUACUAGCUGUUGGGAGCAAUCUCAGUGGCUAAGCGAAAGUGAUAAGUAUCCCACCUGGGGAGUACGUUCGCAAGAAUGAAACUCAAAGGAAUUGACGG
This 901-nucleotide ribosomal RNA is filed under the name uncultured bacterium. RNAcentral's name for it is "bacterial SSU rRNA". It matches the Rfam family "Bacterial small subunit ribosomal RNA", at positions 1 to 916 of the family's 1533-position model. The record is from RNAcentral.